Molecule: ribosomal RNA, 427 nt
Filed under: uncultured Parachlamydiaceae bacterium
Lineage: Bacteria; Pseudomonadati; Chlamydiota; Chlamydiia; Parachlamydiales; Parachlamydiaceae
Description: partial 16S ribosomal RNA
Rfam family: Bacterial small subunit ribosomal RNA
Source: RNAcentral
UCGAGAAUCAUUCGCAAUGGGCGAAAGCCUGACGAUGCGACGCCGCGUGUGUGAUGAAGGCCUUCGGGUCGUAAAGCACUUUCGCUUGGGAACAAGAGAGGUUGGCUAACAACCAACCAAUUUGAGGGUACCAGGUAAAGAAGCACCGGCUAACUCCGUGCCAGCAGCUGCGGUAAUACGGAGGGUGCAAGCGUUAAUCGGAAUUAUUGGGCGUAAAGGGCGCGUAGGCGGUCCGAAAAGUCAGACGUGAAAUCCCAGGGCUCAACCCUGGAACAGCAUCUGAAACUUUCAGACUAGAGGGUAGGCGGAGAAAACGGAAUUCCACAAGUAGCGGUGAAAUGCGUAGAUAUGUGGAAGAACACCGGUGGCGAAGGCGGUUUUCUAGCUUAUUCCUGACGCUGAAGCGCGAAAGCAAGGGGAUCAAACA